This 510-nucleotide ribosomal RNA is filed under the name uncultured bacterium. RNAcentral's name for it is "partial 16S ribosomal RNA". It matches the Rfam family "Bacterial small subunit ribosomal RNA", at positions 28 to 507 of the family's 1533-position model. The record is from RNAcentral.
GACGAACGCUGGUGGCGUGCUUAACACAUGCAAGUCGAACGAAGAGCGAUGGAAGCUUGCUUCUAUCAAUCUUAGUGGCGAACGGGUGAGUAACGCGUAAUCAACCUGCCCUUCAGAGGGGGACAACAGUUGGAAACGACUGCUAAUACCGCAUACGAUCUAAUCUCGGCAUCGAGGAUAGAUGAAAGGUGGCCUCUACAUGUAAGCUAUCACUGAAGGAGGGGAUUGCGUCUGAUUAGCUAGUUGGAGGGGUAACGGCCCACCAAGGCGAUGAUCAGUAGCCGGUCUGAGAGGAUGAGCGGCCACAUUGGGACUGGGACACGGCCCAGACUCCUACGGGAGGCAGCAGUGGGGAAUCUUCCGCAAUGGACGAAAGUCUGACGGAGCAACGCCGCGUGAGCGAUGACGGCCUUCGGGUUGUAAAGCUCUGUUAAUCGGGACGAAGGGCCUUCUUGCGAAUAGUGAGAAGGAUUGACGGUACCGGAAUAGAAAGCCACGGCUAACUACGUG